This is a long non-coding RNA of Physella acuta, 986 nucleotides long. RefSeq lists it as uncharacterized. The record is from RefSeq and is a predicted model, not a curated record. Lineage: Eukaryota; Metazoa; Mollusca; Gastropoda; Physidae.
AUAAAAGUUCUCAGUUAUUACUUUAUAAUUGCAGCAUAAUAAAUAAAUAACAAUGUUGAGGUGUUCACAUUCUGAUUCAGACAUUGCAGUGCAUAUAUUUAAAGAUAGUCAAAUUUGAAGUGUCCGACGAUCUUUGUGUCAUUUGUCUGAUAUCUUUUGUCCUCAUCAAUGUCAUUGGUGCAAGUUUUUUUUUGUUUUGUUUCUAUGAUAAUUAUGUUAACUUGUCCAACAUAAAUUUUUACUAUUUUUAUACACUUUAUUUAUGCACACAUACUAUGAAAUACUAGUAGAUUUUUCUAGUCUUGUAUUACGAUGCAUAUGAUUGACCAUUUAUUAAUGAUAUUAUUAUAUUGUCAAUGUUUUAUAUAUAAAACAAAUUAGUUUUAGUAUAUCAUAUAUCCGUCCACAUUUUAGCUUGAGAAUAUUUAAGAAUAAAUUUUUACUGUAUUAAUUUUUUUUUUUUUUAAAAGCGCUCAUCAUAUAUUUAAAACAUUUUAUUUGAACUGUUUUUCUCCACGUUUCAGAGUUUACUUUCAAUACUUAAAAAUAAACAUUCCUAAAAUUAAAUUGUUAGCAAUUCAAGGUACACAUUACAUCACAUGUGUGGGGAGCAUUUCAAGGUACACAUUACAUCACACGUGUGGGGGUUCUUCCAAAAUGGACAGCUAGAGGAGAGUCAAAUUACAAUUUUUUAUGGACCUUAUAAAUGGAUGUCUAAUUUAUAUGAGGUGUGCUCAUUCUUGAAUAUUUAUUUCAAGUGAUUAGCCCCUUGAAGCUUACAAAAGAAAAAAUUCACCUGUGUUGACCAAACUGUCACUGUAAAGGUAAAAAAAAAACAACCUGAAUAUAAGAGGUGCACCAUACAAACCCAUUCCACCCACUUAGACAUUCUGUCUCUAUAUUUUAGAUGUAUAUUUAUGAACAAUCAUAUGUUUCAUUUUAUAAAGUAGUUUUUAUAUAAUUCAGCAUUAAAUACAUUUUCAUAA